GGUGGAGUAAUGCUUGGGAAUCUAGCUUAUGGAGGGGGAGUAACUACGGGAAACUGUAGCUAAUACCGCGUAAUAUCGAAAGAUUAAAGUGUGGGACCUUUCGGGCCACAUGCCAUAGGAUGAGCCCAAGUGGGAUUAGGUAGUUGGUGAGGUAAAGGCUCACCAAGCCGACGAUCUCUAGCUGGUCUGAGAGGAUGACCAGCCACACUGGGACUGAGACACGGCCCAG
RNAcentral lists this ribosomal RNA (229 nucleotides) under uncultured Pasteurellales bacterium. RNAcentral describes it as "partial 16S ribosomal RNA". It matches the Rfam family "Bacterial small subunit ribosomal RNA", at positions 105 to 334 of the family's 1533-position model. The record is from RNAcentral. Lineage: Bacteria; Pseudomonadati; Pseudomonadota; Gammaproteobacteria; Pasteurellales.